UUGAGGAAAGAAACCAACUGGGAUUACCUUAGUAACGGCGAGUGAAGCGGUAAAAGCUCAAAUCGAAAUCUGGUACUCAAGUGCCCGAGUCGUAAUCUGUAGAAUUCCGUGAUCGAUAGGUCCUUCGUCUAUGAUCCUUCGGAACAGGACGUCAUAGAGGGUGAGAAUCCCGUUUGGCGAGGAUACCUUUUCUCUGUAAGACUCCUUCGAAGAGUCGAGUUGUUUGGGAAUGCAGCUCAAAGUGGGUGGUAAAUUCCAUCUAAAGCUAAAUAUUGGCGAGAGACCGAUAGCGAACAAGUACAGUGAUGGAAAGAUGAAAAGAACUUUGAAAAGAGAGUGAAAAAGUACGUGAAAUUGUUGAAAGGGAAGGGCAUUUGAUCAACAUGGUGUUUUUUGCAUGCCUCGCCUCUCGUGGGCUUGGGCCUCUCAAAAUUUCACUGGGCCACAUCAAUUCUGGCGCAGGAUAAAUCAUUAAGAAUGUAGCUACUUCGGUGGUGUUAUAGCUUUUUGGAAUACUGUUAGCCGGGAUUGAGGACUGCGCUUCGGCAAGGAUGUUGGCAUAAUGGUUAAAUGCCGCCCGCAGA
Molecule: ribosomal RNA, 584 nt
Filed under: Hanseniaspora uvarum
Lineage: Eukaryota; Fungi; Ascomycota; Saccharomycetes; Saccharomycodales; Saccharomycodaceae
Description: eukaryotic LSU rRNA
Rfam family: Eukaryotic large subunit ribosomal RNA
Source: RNAcentral